This 1778-nucleotide long non-coding RNA is filed under the name Homo sapiens (human). RNAcentral describes it as "HSALNT0311628". Lineage: Eukaryota; Metazoa; Chordata; Mammalia; Primates; Hominidae. The record is from RNAcentral.
ACAUAUUCAGAAGGCAUCUCACUGGAGAGGGUUUAGUUCUCCUUAGCAGAAGAUAAGAUUUCAAGAUUUCAGCUAAGACUCAUCUCUCUGCAAAUCUUUCUUUUGAGAGGAAGAACACACUUAGUGGUACAGCUUGGUGAGUUUUGAUAUGCACACAUGCAUGUAACUACCACUCCGGAUCAAGAUGAUAAGGAACAUCCCUAUCACUUCAGAAGGUGCCUUUUGCUCCACCCAGAGCAUCUUCACCAGGAGGAGAUUCCAUCUCAAGAGACCACUUUCACUGCUCAUAUGUAAGAAGCAACUCUUCAUCUGUUCAAGUUUGAUCAUGAGAGUGCGGCAAUUCAGUCACAACUUCAGGCUCCACUUCUAGUUCUAGUUCUCUUGCUGUUUCCACCACAUCUACAGCGACUUCCUCCACUGAAGACGUGAACCCCUGAAAGUCAUCUAUGGGGGUUGGAAUCAAUGUCUUUCACACUCCUGUUAAUGUUGGUAUUUUGACCUCCUCCCAUGAAUUACAAAUGUUCCUAAUGGCAUCUAGAAUAAUGACUACUUUCCAGAAGCUUUUCAAUUUGCUUUGCUCAGAUCCAUCAAUGGAAUCACUAUCAAUGGUAGCUAUAUAAACUAUAUAAGGCUAUAUAUAUAUAUAUAGCUAUUUCUUAAUAGCCUUAUGAAAUAUAUUUCUUAAUAAGACUUGAAAGUCUUGGUCCAUGGACUGCAGAAUGGAUGUUUGUGUUAGCAGGGAUGAAAACAACAUGAAUAUUCUCGUACAUCUCCAACACAGCUCUUGAUCGACAUGGUGCAGAGCAGUAAUAUUUUGAAAGGAAUCUUUUUUUCUGAGCAAUAGUUCUCAAUAGUGGGCUUGAAAUAUUCAGUAAACCAUGCUGUAAACAGAUGUGUUGUCAUCCAGGCUUUAUUGUUCCAUUUAUGGAGCACAGAUAGAGUAGAUUUCGCAUAAUUCUUAAUGACACCAGGAUUUACAAAAUAGUAAAUGAACAUUUACUUCAACUUAAAGUCAUCAGCUGCAUUCACCUCUAAAAAGAGAGUCAGCCUGUCCUGUGGAGCUUUGCAGCUUGCCUUGACAUCUCCUCUCUAGCUGUGAAAGUCCUGGAUGGCAUCUUCUUCCAACAUAAGACUGUUUUGUCUACACUGAAAAUCUGUUGUUUCGUGUAGACACUUUCAUCAAUUAUCUUAUCUAGAUUUUCUGGAUAACUUGCCACAGCUUCUCCCUUUGCACUUGCUGCUUCAUCUUGCAUUUUUAUGUUAUGGAGAUGUUGUCUUUCAUUAAACCUCACAAACCAACCUCCGCUAGCUUCAAACUUUUCUUCUGCAGCUUCCUCACCUCUCUCCGCCUUCAUAGCAUUGAAGAGAGUUAGAGUCUUGCUCUGGAUUAGGCUUUGACUUAAGGAAAUGUUGUGGCUGGUUGGAUCUUUUCUCCAGACCACUCAAACUUUCUCCAUAUUAGCAAUAUGGCUGCUUUGUUUUCUCUUCAUUUGCAUGUUCCCUGGAGUAGAGCUUAAAUAUCCUUCAAGAACUUUUCCUGUGAAGUCGCAAUUUGGCUAACUGGUGCAGAGGUGAGCUUUUGGCCUUGACUUUCAAUAUGUCCUCCUUACUAAGCUUAAUCAUUUCUAGAUUUUGAUUUAAAGUGAGAGACGUGGGACUUUUCCCUUCACUUGAACACUUAGAGGCCAUUGUAGGGUUAUUAAUUGGCUUAAUUUCAAUAUUAUUGUGUCUUGGGCUGGGCACAGUGGCUCAUGCCUGUAAUCCCAGCCCUUUGGGAA